This 253-nucleotide ribosomal RNA is filed under the name uncultured bacterium. RNAcentral describes it as "partial 16S ribosomal RNA". It matches the Rfam family "Bacterial small subunit ribosomal RNA", at positions 524 to 776 of the family's 1533-position model. The record is from RNAcentral.
UACGUAGGGUGCGAGCGUUAAUCGGAAUUACUGGGCGUAAAGUGUGCGCAGGCGGCCGAGCAAGUCGAGUGUGAAAUCCCCGGGCUUAACUUGGGAAUUGCGCUCGAAACUACGUGGCUCGAGUGUGGCAGAGGAAGGUGGAAUUCCACGUGUAGCGGUGAAAUGCGUAGAGAUGUGGAGGAACACCGAUGGCGAAGGCGGCAUCCUGGACCGGCAUUGACGCUGAGGCGCGAAAGCUAGGGGAGCAAACGGG